RNAcentral lists this ribosomal RNA (900 nucleotides) under Knoxdaviesia wingfieldii. RNAcentral's name for it is "LSU rRNA". It matches the Rfam family "Eukaryotic large subunit ribosomal RNA", at positions 38 to 966 of the family's 3401-position model. The record is from RNAcentral. Lineage: Eukaryota; Fungi; Ascomycota; Sordariomycetes; Microascales; Gondwanamycetaceae.
GCAUAUCAAUAAGCGGAGGAAAAAGAAACCAACAGGGAUUGCCCUAGUAACGGCGAGCGAAGCGGCAACAGCUCAAAUUUGAAAUCUGGUCUUCUGGGCCCGAGUUGUAAUUUGCAGAGGAUGCUUCUGGCAAGGUGCCUUCCGAGUUCCCUGGAACGGGACGCCAUAGAGGGUGAGAGCCCCGUACGGUUGGACACCGAGCCGUUGUGUAGCUCCUUCAACGAGUCGAGUAGUUUGGGAAUGCUGCUCUAAAUGGGAGGUAUAUCUCUUCUAAAGCUAAAUACCGGCCAGAGACCGAUAGCGCACAAGUAGAGUGAUCGAAAGAUGAAAAGCACUUUGAAAAGAGAGUUAAACAGCACGUGAAAUUGUUGAAAGGGAAGCGCUUGUGACCAGACUUGUGCCCGGUGAAUUAGCUGGUGUUCUCACCAGUCGACUUUGCCGGCUCAGGCCAGCAUCGGUUUGUUAUUGGGGAGAAAAACGAUGGGAAUGUGGCUCCUUCGGGAGUGUUAUAGCCCGCCGUAUAAUACCCUUUGGCAGACCGAGGACCGCGCAUCUGCAUGGAUGCUGGCGUAAUGGUCACCAGCGACCCGUCUUGAAACACGGACCAAGGAGUCAACCUUAUGUGCAAGUGUUUGGGUGUUAAACCCCUACGCGGAAUUAACGUGAACGUAGGUGAGAGCCUUCGGGCGCAUCAUCGACCGAUUCUGAUGUUCUCGGAUGGAUUUGAGUAAGAGCACACAGGGUUGGACCCGAAAGAAGGUGAACUAUGCUUGUAUAGGGUGAAGCCAGAGGAAACUCUGGUGGAGGCUCGCAGCGGUUCUGACGUGCAAAUCGAUCGUCAAAUAUGAGCAUGGGGGCGAAAGACUAAUCGAACCUUCUAGUAGCUGGUUCCAGCCGAAG